This is a long non-coding RNA of Parus major (Great Tit), 1589 nucleotides long. NCBI's taxonomy places the organism in Eukaryota, Metazoa, Chordata, Aves, Passeriformes, Paridae. The record is from Ensembl.
AACACCCUGAGAACACCCUGAGAACACCCUGAGAACACCCUGACACCACCCAGCAGCUCCCGCUGCAGCAGCACAGCCAGGAACAGAGAGACCCCCGGGGAUGUCAACAACAGCACGGCCAGGGGUAACCUGGGGAGGGGACAGGGGUGUCAGAGACCCCCUGAGACCACACUGAGAACACCCUGAGACCCCGAGGUGUGUCACCUGUCCCCAGGUGUCCCCAGGUGUCCCCAGGUGUGUCCCAGGUGUCACUCACCUGUCCCAGGUGUCCCCAGGUGUGUCCCAGGUGUGUCCCCAGGUGUCACUCACCUGUCCCAGGUGUGUCACUCACCUGUUCCCCCCGGGUCUGACGGCGGCCGCGGGGGGCACGAGGGUGACCCCCAGCAGGAAGCCCAGGUGUCCCCAGGUGUCCCAGGUGUCCCCAGGUGUCACUCACCUGUCCCAGGUGUGUCACUCACCUGUUCCCCCCAGGUCUCACAGCGGCCGCGGGGGGCACAAGGGUGACCCCCAGCAGGAAGCCCAGGUGUCCCAGGUGUCCCAGGUGUGUCACCUGUCCCAGGUGUCCCCAGGUGUCCCCAGGUGUCCCCAGGUGUCCCCAGGUGUCCCCAGGUGUCCCCAGGUGUGUCACUCACCUGNAGCGCACGUGACCGCUCCACUGACGGUUUUUAUUUAUGGCGCCACCGGGCGGAAAGGCGGGAAAAGCGCGGCGGGAGAGGCCACGCCCCCGACAGAGCCACGCCCACAAAACGGACACGUCAAUCAACAGAAGCCCCGCCCAUAAACGGACACGUCAAUCAAAAAAUCCCCUCCCACUGCUAAAGCCCCGCCCACAAAACGGACGUGUCAAUCAACAGAAGCCCCACCCAUAAAUGGGCACAUCAAUCAAGGAAAGCCCCGCCCAUUGUUAAAGCCACGCCCACAAACGGGCAUGUCAAUCAAAAACCUGUCAAAAAACGUCAAUCAGUCCGUGGGUCUGUCCUGGUGUGUCCGUCUGGGGCUGUCUGUGUGUCCAUCCAGGUGUGUCCAGGUGUGUCCGUGUGUCCAGGUGUGUCCGUGGCUCUGUCCAGGUCUGUCCGUGUGUCCGUCCGGGGCUGUCGCUGUCCUGGGGGGGUCUGUCCAUGGGUCUGGCCCUGCUGGACAUCUGUCCGUGUGUCCCGUGUCUGUGUGUCCGUGUGUCUGUGCCAAGCGUCCGUCUGUCCCGUGUGUCCGUCCCAUGUCCGUGUGUCUGUACCGCGUCCAUCUGUCCGUGUGUCUGCGCCGUGUGUCUGUGUGUCUAUCUGUCCAUGUGUCCAUGUGUCCAUCCCAUCUGUCCGUGUGUCCGUGUGUCUGUGUGUCCAUCUGUCCGUGUGUCCAUGUGUCCAUCCCAUCUGUCCGUGUGUCUGUUCCGACCGUCUGUCUGUCCAUCCCGUGUGUCCGUGUGUCCGCCCUGUGUCCAUCUGUCCACGUGUCUGUGCCCAUGUGUCCGUGUGUCCGUCCCGUGUCCGUGUGUCCGUCAUUUCCAGAAGAGCACGUUCCAGAGCAGCAGCCAGCAGGGGUGGGCGCCCAGGGUGAGGAGGGGGCUCAGGUGGGUUCAGGUGGGCUCAGGUGGG